GGAUGAACGCUGGCGGCGUGCUUAACACAUGCAAGUCGAACGAUGAAGCCCAGCUUGCUGGGUGGAUUAGUGGCGAACGGGUGAGUAACACGUGAGUAACCUGCCCUUAACUCUGGGAUAAGCCUGGGAAACUGGGUCUAAUACCGGAUAGGAGCGUCCACCGCAUGGUGGGUGUUGGAAAGAUUUAUCGGUUUUGGAUGGACUCGCGGCCUAUCAGCUUGUUGGUGAGGUAAUGGCUCACCAAGGCGACGACGGGUAGCCGGCCUGAGAGGGUGACCGGCCACACUGGGACUGAGACACGGCCCAGACUCCUACGGGAGGCAGCAGUGGGGAAUAUUGCACAAUGGGCGMAAGCCUGAUGCAGCGACGCCGCGUGAGGGAUGACGGCCUUCGGGUUGUAAACCUCUUUCAGUAGGGAAGAAGCGAAAGKACGG
This 434-nucleotide ribosomal RNA is filed under the name Micrococcus luteus. RNAcentral's name for it is "bacterial SSU rRNA". It matches the Rfam family "Bacterial small subunit ribosomal RNA", at positions 27 to 461 of the family's 1533-position model. Lineage: Bacteria; Bacillati; Actinomycetota; Actinomycetes; Micrococcales; Micrococcaceae. The record is from RNAcentral.